Non-coding RNA from Mucidula mucida, 94 nucleotides. The record is from the annotation of a GenBank genome assembly. Lineage: Eukaryota; Fungi; Basidiomycota; Agaricomycetes; Agaricales; Physalacriaceae.
GCAUUAAUGGGGUAGUGGUAACCUGGGUCGUUGCCAUAAAUGUGAAUUGGAACGGAAUAUCGACCCGCCGGGGGUUCGAUUCCCCCUUAAUGCA